This is a long non-coding RNA of Panthera uncia (snow leopard), 391 nucleotides long. RefSeq lists it as uncharacterized. The record is from RefSeq and is a predicted model, not a curated record. The transcript has 2 exons. Lineage: Eukaryota; Metazoa; Chordata; Mammalia; Carnivora; Felidae.
AAUCCAACCGGGAACAGCCGGUGAGGAGCAGAGGACCAAAGCCCGUUGUGCCUCCUGCUGGCUGGGAGCCUUUGGACAAGUCCCCGGAAGAAGGUUUUGUACCAAGCCGGGCGCUUUUCAUGUACCAUCAGAUGCGCUUUUCACCUUGAAGUUCCGAUCGGCCAAGACUUAACCGAGUGUUUGCUGUGCGCUAAGCCCUGGGGAUACAGAGAUGGACCUGGCCCGGCCGCCCCCGGCGGAGACCUCACGGUCUCGGGAGCAGUGAGAGCGCGCCGCGCGAUCAGAGACCCGCACCGCACCCCCCCAGCACGUAGCUACCUCUGAAGAGACGUCCGGGAGAUGAAUGAAAGCCAUGUGCGUGAUAGAGAUAAGAUAAAAUUGCAGGAAGUAA